This 425-nucleotide ribosomal RNA is filed under the name uncultured bacterium. RNAcentral describes it as "bacterial SSU rRNA". It matches the Rfam family "Bacterial small subunit ribosomal RNA", at positions 354 to 796 of the family's 1533-position model. The record is from RNAcentral.
GUGGGGAAUCUUAGACAAUGGGGGCAACCCUGAUCUAGCCAUGCCGCGUGAGUGAUGAAGGCCUUAGGGUUGUAAAGCUCUUUCAGUGGGGAAGAUAAUGACGGUACCCACAGAAGAAGCCCCGGCUAACUCCGUGCCAGCAGCCGCGGUAAUACGGAGGGGGCUAGCGUUGUUCGGAAUUACUGGGCGUAAAGCGCACGUAGGCGGAUCGGAAAGUUGGGGGUGAAAUCCCAGGGCUCAACCCUGGAACUGCCUUAAAAACUAUCGGUCUGGAGUACGAGAGAGGUGAGUGGAAUUCCGGGUGUAGAGGUGAAAUUCGUAGAUAUUCGGAGGAACACCAGUGGCGAAGGCGGCUCACUGGCUCGGUACUGACGCUGAGGUGCGAAAGCGUGGGGAGCAAACAGGAUUAGAUACCCCUGUAGUCC